This 253-nucleotide ribosomal RNA is filed under the name uncultured bacterium. Its description in RNAcentral is "partial 16S ribosomal RNA". It matches the Rfam family "Bacterial small subunit ribosomal RNA", at positions 524 to 776 of the family's 1533-position model. The record is from RNAcentral.
UACGGAGGGUGCAAGCGUUAUCCGGAUUCACUGGGUUUAAAGGGCGCGCAGGCGGCUUUGCAAGACAGGUGUGAAAUCCCCGGGCCUAACCUGGGAACUGCAUUUGUGACUGCAUAGCUAGAGUUUGUCAGAGGGGGGUGGAAUUCCACGUGUAGCAGUGAAAUGCGUAGAUAUGUGGAGGAACACCGAUGGCGAAGGCAGCCCCCUGGGAUGUGACUGACGCUCAUGUACGAAAGCGUGGGGAGCAAACAGG